GACGAACGCUGGCGGCGUGCUUAACACAUGCAAGUCGAACGGAAAGGCCCUGCUUUUGUGGGGUGCUCGAGUGGCGAACGGGUGAGUAACACGUGAGUAACCUGCCCUUGACUUUGGGAUUACUUCAGGAAACUGGGGCUAAUACCGGAUAGGAGCUCCUGCUGCAUGGUGGGGGUUGGAAAGUUUCGGCGGUUGGGGAUGGACUCGCGGCUUAUCAGCUUGUUGGUGGGGUAGUGGCUUACCAAGGCUUUGACGGGUAGCCGGCCUGAGAGGGUGACCGGCCACAUUGGGACUGAGAUACGGCCCAGACUCCUACGGGAGGCAGCAGUGGGGAAUAUUGCACAAUGGGCGGAAGCCUGAUGCAGCAACGCCGCGUGCGGGAUGACGGCCUUCGGGUUGUAAACCGCUUUCGCCUGUGACGAAGCGUGAGUGACGGUAAUGGGGAAAGAAGCACCGGCUAACUACGU
RNAcentral lists this ribosomal RNA (467 nucleotides) under uncultured bacterium. Its description in RNAcentral is "partial 16S ribosomal RNA". It matches the Rfam family "Bacterial small subunit ribosomal RNA", at positions 28 to 506 of the family's 1533-position model. The record is from RNAcentral.